RNAcentral lists this transfer RNA (74 nucleotides) under Bos taurus (domestic cattle). It matches the Rfam family "tRNA". Rfam says of the family: Transfer RNA (tRNA) molecules are approximately 80 nucleotides in length. Their secondary structure includes four short double-helical elements and three loops (D, anti-codon, and T loops). Further hydrogen bonds mediate the characteristic L-shaped molecular structure. tRNAs have two regions of fundamental functional importance: the anti-codon, which is responsible for specific mRNA codon recognition, and the 3' end, to which the tRNAs corresponding amino acid is attached (by aminoacyl-tRNA synthetases). tRNAs cope with the degeneracy of the genetic code in two manners: having more than one tRNA (with a specific anti-codon) for a particular amino acid; and 'wobble' base-pairing, i.e. permitting non-standard base-pairing at the 3rd anti-codon position. RNAcentral also lists the same sequence under 2 other names. Lineage: Eukaryota; Metazoa; Chordata; Mammalia; Artiodactyla; Bovidae. The record is from Rfam by way of RNAcentral.
UCCCUCAUGGUCCAGUGUGGUAAAACUCUGCACUUCCAAUGCAGGGAGCCCAGGUUCAAUCCCUGGUCUGGGAG